GACGAACGCUGGCGGCGUGCUUAACACAUGCAAGUCGAACGGUGAAGCCCUGCUCUUGUGGGGUGCUCGUGUGGCGAACGCGUGUGUAACACGUGAGUGUACUGCGCUUGUCUUUGGGGUAUCUUCCGGAAACUGUGGCUCAUACCCUAUAGGUGCUACUCCUCCAUGGUGGGGGUUGUGGAGUUUUGUCGGUUGGGGAUGGACUCGCGGCUUAUCAGCUUGUUGGUGGGGUAAUGGCUUACCAAGGCGAUGACGGGUAGCCGGCCUGAGAGGGUGACCGGCCACACUGGGACUGAGACACGGCCCAGACUCCUACGGGAGGCAGCAGUGGGGAAUAUUGCACAAUGGGCGGAAGCCUGAUGCAGCGACGCCGCGUGAGGGAUGACGGCCUUCGGGUUGUAAACCUCUUUCAGCACGGAAGAAGCGAGAGUGACGGUAAGUGCAGAAGAAGCGCCGGCUAACUACGUG
RNAcentral lists this ribosomal RNA (468 nucleotides) under uncultured bacterium. RNAcentral's name for it is "partial 16S ribosomal RNA". It matches the Rfam family "Bacterial small subunit ribosomal RNA", at positions 28 to 507 of the family's 1533-position model. The record is from RNAcentral.